UAUCUUUUAUCGCUGAUUGUUUUUCAUUCCAGUCCCCUCCAUAUAUUCCGUCACACAGACAAAGAGCUUUGGAAUACACUUUAGACAGGUUUCAAAGUGACAACCACGGCUCCGUUCCAUUUUUUCUCUUUGGUGAUUUCAAUUUUAGAACAAAUACUCAAGCUGUAAUUGAAAGGUUAGUUGAUGGUUUAAAUCCUGUACAAGUUCAAAGUCCUAAUAGUAAUAGCGUUCAAAAGUUGCUGUACAGAAAGGAUGGAGAAGAGGUUUGUUAUUUUGAUUUUCUUGUAGUUUAAUCACUCUGUGGUGUUGUAACCCUUCAAUUGUAAAUUCAAAUGAGAAGGUUAGAUAGUGAAGAUCAGUGG
RNAcentral lists this long non-coding RNA (362 nucleotides) under Bemisia tabaci. RNAcentral describes it as "lncRNA ENSSWEETPG012554". The record is from RNAcentral. Lineage: Eukaryota; Metazoa; Arthropoda; Insecta; Hemiptera; Aleyrodidae.